Molecule: ribosomal RNA, 254 nt
Filed under: uncultured bacterium
Lineage: Bacteria
Description: partial 16S ribosomal RNA
Rfam family: Bacterial small subunit ribosomal RNA
Source: RNAcentral
UACGGGGGGGGCAAGCGUUGUUCGGAAUUACUGGGCGUAAAGGGCUCGUAGGCGGCCAACUAAGUCAGACGUGAAAUCCCUCGGCUUAACCGGGGAACUGCGUCUGAUACUGGAUGGCUUGAGUUUGGGAGAGGGAUGCGGAAUUCCAAGUGUAGCGGUGAAAUGCGUAGAUAUCUGGAGGAACACCGGUGGCGAAGGCGGCAUCCUGGACCAACACUGACGCUGAGUGAGCGAAAGCCAGGGGAGCAAACGGG